This 763-nucleotide ribosomal RNA is filed under the name uncultured Streptococcus sp. RNAcentral's name for it is "bacterial SSU rRNA". It matches the Rfam family "Bacterial small subunit ribosomal RNA", at positions 28 to 776 of the family's 1533-position model. Lineage: Bacteria; Bacillati; Bacillota; Bacilli; Lactobacillales; Streptococcaceae. The record is from RNAcentral.
GACGAACGCUGGCGGCGUGCCUAAUACAUGCAAGUAGAACGCUGAAGGAGGAGCUUGCUUCUCUGGAUGAGUUGCGAACGGGUGAGUAACGCGUAGGUAACCUGCCUGGUAGCGGGGGAUAACUAUUGGAAACGAUAGCUAAUACCGCAUAACAGUAGAUGUUGCAUGACAUUUGCUUAAAAGGUGCAAUUGCAUCACUACCAGAUGGACCUGCGUUGUAUUAGCUAGUUGGUGGGGUAACGGCUCACCAAGGCGACGAUACAUAGCCGACCUGAGAGGGUGAUCGGCCACACUGGGACUGAGACACGGCCCAGACUCCUACGGGAGGCAGCAGUAGGGAAUCUUCGGCAAUGGACGGAAGUCUGACCGAGCAACGCCGCGUGAGUGAAGAAGGUUUUCGGAUCGUAAAGCUCUGUUGUAAGAGAAGAACGAGUGUGAGAGUGGAAAGUUCACACUGUGACGGUAUCUUACCAGAAAGGGACGGCUAACUACGUGCCAGCAGCCGCGGUAAUACGUAGGUCCCGAGCGUUGUCCGGAUUUAUUGGGCGUAAAGCGAGCGCAGGCGGUUAGAUAAGUCUGAAGUUAAAGGCUGUGGCUUAACCAUAGUACGCUUUGGAAACUGUUUAACUUGAGUGCAAGAGGGGAGAGUGGAAUUCCAUGUGUAGCGGUGAAAUGCGUAGAUAUAUGGAGGAACACCGGUGGCGAAAGCGGCUCUCUGGCUUGUAACUGACGCUGAGGCUCGAAAGCGUGGGGAGCAAACAGG